CGGGGGGAGCAAGCGUUGUUCGGAUUUACUGGGCGUAAAGGGCGCGUAGGCGGCCACCGCAAGUCAAUUGUGAAAUCUCCGGGCUUAACUCGGAAAGGUCAACUGAUACUGCGGGGCUAGAGUGCAGAAGGGCAACUGGAAUUCUCGGUGUAGCGUGAAAUGCGUAGAUAUCGAGAGGAACACCUGCGGCGAAGGCGGGUUGCUGGGCUGACACUGACGCUGAGGCGCGAAAGCUAGGGGAGCGAACGGGAUUAGAUACCCCGGUAGUCCUAGCCUUAAACGAUGAAUGCUUGGUGUCUGGGGUUAUAAAGUCCCCGGGUGCCGUCGCUAACGCUUUAAGCAUUCCGCCUGGGGAGUACGGUCGCAAGACUG
Molecule: ribosomal RNA, 372 nt
Filed under: uncultured organism
Description: bacterial SSU rRNA
Rfam family: Bacterial small subunit ribosomal RNA
Source: RNAcentral